Long non-coding RNA from Pseudopipra pipra, 3980 nucleotides. RefSeq lists it as uncharacterized. The record is from RefSeq and is a predicted model, not a curated record. Lineage: Eukaryota; Metazoa; Chordata; Aves; Passeriformes; Pipridae. The transcript has 3 exons.
UUUAAUGCCCAAUUGUAAUCAUCUUUGUUGUCAACUCCCUGGUCAACUGUCUUAUGGUACUGUUAAUUGCUACAAAUGCAGACACUGCUUCUAUUAAUAGUUCAGAGGAUGCAUAUUUAUGAUCUCUUUUUAGAAAUUAGUAAAUCUGACAUGACUAAAAUGAGCUAGUGUUACAGCUUUGUGGUAUAGGAGAAAAGGUUCAGCAGGGCUGGUUAUUCCAUAGCCAGUACAUUUCUGCUUCUGAAGGCAGAAACCCUUCUGGUUUGCAUCUCUCUGCUGGAAGUGGCAAUCAGCAUGUGGCAUAUACUCCAUUCUCUAUGCUCUAAGGAGCUCAUGGGCUGCAUGGAAUAAUGAAGAAAGUUAUCUUUGAAAACAGUCACGUAGAGCAUGAAAAGAAUCAGGGGAGGACAAAUCUAAAUUUAAAGGCAAGUAAGUGUCUUAAUUAAAAGGUAUCAAUAUAUCGGUAAUUCUAGUGAAUUUUGUCAGAUUACAAGACUUCUUUAUUUACUGUCUGCUUCAUAGAAGUUACAUUUGAUUAAAACAGUUGUACCUGAGAAGAAGAGCAUCAAGCUUCUGUAUCCAGUAUUGCCACCUUGUUUGAUCCCAAUUCUUGUUUUACCUGGUGCUUUCACUAAACCUCACCUGCAAGAAUGAGAAGAACUAACACUGUUCAGUGUUUUGGGGUUUUUUAUUUUGUUGUUCUUGGUUGGGGUUUUCUGUUGGGUUGUUUGCAGCCCUUGUGGCUGCAGUGAAAAGUCUGGAUGUCUGAAGGACAGUCCCCCAGAGAUACAAAACUGGAAAAGCAAGUCAAAACAAACCAGAAUUUUACUAUGUGUCAAGAUUUCUAAUUCAAACCUUCUGGGUUUAGGUUUCGCUGGACUCAUCUCACAUCUUCAAAUGGUUAAGAUGGAAAAUGAGGAGACAGAUUGCACAUCUACAAGGAAAUUUCCUUCCUACAUUUAAGGACUACUUCUUGUGGAUCUGUAAAGUACUGAGCAAAGUGUCUGGGAAAUCAAGGUGGAGCUCUCAGAGGCUCUGGGAUGGAAAACUAUGGGAAAUUGGAGGUCACCAUGGAAACGUUUGCUGGAGCAGGAAAUGAAACUGCUGUGUUGAUCAAGUGAGUAAUCAUUUAUCUACAGCCCAAAAAGUGCAGUGCACCUACCCUGCCCCUCACGGCUUUGUCUCCUCCAGCAGCCUGGCCGGGGCUCUCCCUGCUUCAGAGGUGUUCUUUGUAUGGAACUGAGAGAGCCCUGCACUUCCCAGCUUGGCUCUCGGGGCUGUUUAAGGUUCAGAUGUCAGCUGUACCCCAGGAUGGUUCCUGGUUCGUUGUCAAUACUGGGAAGGGGGAUUAGUAUCGAUGCUUCUCCUGUUACCCAGAAACUGAAAUAUUAACUCAGGAAACCACCUAAGCUUAAAAUAAUAUAGAAAACCCCAAGGCCUUAAGUCCUUCCCGUGCUUUAUGCCUCUGUGAAAGAAUGCAGAGCUGGCCUAAGCACGUGCCUGAUGCCUUGUUUGUGACUCUGCUGUGGAGGCAACUGCUUUCCAAAGGAGCAGCUGGGAUUGGGUUCUCCAGCCUUAGAUUUGGGUGAUGUCACCAAUCCUGAAUAACAGUGGCAGUGCAGCACCACAGGAAUCUGCACAGUUCAUUGCUCCAGAAGGCAAAUUCCCAAUACAAAAGUGUGUUAGACUUUGGGUUUGUAACUUGACUAUUAUAUGGGAGAAAUGUUAGGGGACCAAUUCCAAUGAAUGUAUUUUCAGUAGAUACCACGGGCCCCUGAGCUGAGGCAAAUGACAGCCCUGGCUCAGAGCAGAAAUCAAGCCUCUACCACACUGAACUCUAAGAUUGUGUAAUUUAGCAUUGUUGUGAACAUUUAAUUCAAAUCUGCAAGGUUCCUCUCCAGGAAAGGCCAGUCACCCAGCAUUCUACACUCCAAAGUGAUUAAAUCUUCAACUGCCUAUGAAUAUGCAAUCACUUCUUACAGGGUUUAACAAAAUCACCACAGAAAUGCAGACCAAGCCUUCACCUGUGUUGCAGCUUUAACUCCACGUUCUUGCUAAUUUACCCUUCGCUUCUCCAAUUUCGCUUUGUCCUUAAAAACCAUCCAUUUUCUAACAGAACAAACUAUAAACUUCAUCCUCCACUCACUUUAUCAAACCAGCUAAAUAUCCCUUUUUGUUUCACAAACUGAAGUGUUUUACAUAGCUGCUUAGAUAACAAAAUUGUGUGAAUACUUCACACAUCAGAUCCUUCAGAUGCUUCCACUGUGAACAUAAACAAAAACUAAAUGUAAGACUGACGUUGUUCUAAACUGCAAAAUAUUUGAAGAUAAAAAUCCCACUCAGAUGGCUGCUUUCCUCACUCUGGCCAUGUAUUUAUGCCAAGUGUAACUGUUGCCAUGGCUGCCUCGUCAACUCAUUAAAAAUAACAGUUCCCUGGUCUCCAACUCCCCUCCGUUAAAGGAAAGGGAUGUGGGCGCUCUCUAAAUUGAAUCCAGACGAGCCUGUGUCCCUUUGCAUCACCACUUAAAAGCCACAUUAUUCAAGGAGCUCCUACCUCAGGAGUCUUACUCAGUCCCUGACUCUCAGAGGUAAAGGCCUGAUUCUGUUUUAGAGAUUUCUUGGUCACUUAGAAGCUUAUUCUGGAAUACCUAGAUAGGAGAGGAUCCAGGGAGAUACUGGAAGUGGUCUGUAUCUUACUAAGUAACAAAUGCAGCUAUUUCUGAAGGAUUGGCAAACUUUCUUGGAUAUCUUGUCCUGGAAGCAGAUGUAGAACCACCGUGCAGAACCUUUAAGGCCGUAUUGAUCGAGUCUCCUUUAGGUUACAGUUAAACCCUGAUGGCUGCAGCUCUAGCUCUGCUAGACCUUUCCUUUCCUGUUGCAGCUCAGAGCUCAGCUGCAGCUACCAUUUCUGGUUUGCUUUUGAAGAUGCAACAUCUGAGUAGCUGUUCCAGGCUACAGAUAUGCCUCUCAGGAUAUCUCGCCCCCCUGAACUGAGCCUGGAUCUGCUGUGAACCUCUGCUCUCUGGCCAACACCAUUCCAGAUAAAAAGCAGCACCGACAAAGCUACGAGGACCUGGCAAUUUAUGUGAGGGCAGGGAAAAAGCUUCACCCAAGGGCACUUGGGUUACUGAGUACACAGCCUUUGCAUGACAUCUUGACCCCUUCUGCCCCUGGUCUCACAGAACUCUAAUUGCCAUUUCCCCUAUUCAUUCAAAUCAAAUUGUACGUAGGAGACGCAGCAUUUGAAGUAAACACUGCAGCAGCCAGUCAGUAACAGGAGGUAUCUCGGGUACCUGUAAGCAUGAACUCCCCCCGCUUCACUGCACUGCACCAGCUCUCUGGGAACUCAUUUUUGAGAAUAAGCAUGAAUUGGCAAUAAACUCACUUUUUUAAUCAGUCACUGCAGCUGCGAGCCUGGAUUGCAACAUACGCUGUGAUAAUUCCUGUUUCAGAUGUGUUCUAAAAAUUUACAUCAACUAUUCGAGACUCUGCCGAAAUGAUCAAAUUGUUUGGAUUUAUUCACUGCUCUGGGGAAAACAUCCCUCCAAAUCUAAAUAGCAUUCAGAUGGAAGCUUCCAUCUGCUAAAAAGCAGGUCAGCUCAGCCACACUCAAAGAUUUUGUUCCAUACCCAACCCCCCCACCCAUCCCCAAAUCCCACAGACUUUUUCCUGAAAUUUCUCCCCCAGAAAUGCCUGUGCAGAGUUAUGAAGAUGUUUUGACUUUUAGGAACAGAUCAGGUGAUUCAGAACACCUCUCCCAGGAGGAGAGGCUGAAGAGUUGGGGUUGUUCAGAACCUCUUGCAGAAGGUUCCUCUGCAAGAGAGCUGAAGAGGGACUUCUGACAGGAGAAGGGGGAAUGGCUUCAAACUGAGAGAGCAGGGUUAGGUUAGAAAAAGUUCUUCACUGUGAAGGUGGUACAACAGUGGAACAGGUUGCCCAGACAACUUGUGGCUUCCCCAUUUCUGAAGUGUUUAAGGCCA